RNAcentral lists this ribosomal RNA (465 nucleotides) under uncultured bacterium. RNAcentral describes it as "partial 16S ribosomal RNA". It matches the Rfam family "Bacterial small subunit ribosomal RNA", at positions 338 to 795 of the family's 1533-position model. The record is from RNAcentral.
CCUACGGGAGGCUGCAGUAGGGAAUCUUCCACAAUGGGCGAAAGCCUGAUGGAGCAACGCCGCGUGGGUGAAGAAGGUCUUCGGAUCGUAAAACCCUGUUGUUAGAGAAGAAAGUGCGUGAGAGUAACUGUUCACGUCUCGACGGUAUCUUACCAGAAAGCCGCGGCUAACUACGUGCCCGCAGCCGCGGGAAUUCGUAGGUGGCAAGCGUUAUACGGAUUUAUUGGGCGUAAAGGGAACGCAGGGGGUCUUUUAAGUCUGAUGGGAAAGCCUUCGGGUUAACCGGAGGAAUGCUUUGGAAACUGUGAGACUUGAGUGCAGAAGAGGAGAGUGGAACUCCAUGUGUAGCGGUGAAAUGCGUAGAUAUAUGGAAGAACACCAGUGGCGAAAGCGGCUCUCUGGUCUGUAACUGACGCUGAGGUUCGAAAGCGUGGGUAGCAAACAGGAUUAGAUACCCGAGUAGUC